Molecule: ribosomal RNA, 447 nt
Filed under: uncultured bacterium
Lineage: Bacteria
Description: bacterial SSU rRNA
Rfam family: Bacterial small subunit ribosomal RNA
Source: RNAcentral
GGCCAGACUCCUACGGGAGGCAGCAGUGGGGAAUAUUGCACAGUGGGGGAAACCCUGAUGCAGCAACGCCGCGUGAGUGAAGAAGUCAUUCGUGAUGUAAAGCUCUAUCAGCAGGGAAGAAAAUGACGGUACCUGAGUAAGAAGCCCCGGCUAACUACGUGCCAGCAGCCGCGGUAAUACGUAGGGGGCAAGCGUUAUCCGGAUUUACUGGGUGUAAAGGGAGCGUAGACGGCGAUGCAAGUCUGAAGUGAAAGCCCGGGGCUCAACCCCGGGACUGCUUUGGAAACUGUAUGGCUGGAGUGCUGGAGAGGCAAGCGGAAUUCCUAGUGUAGCGGUGAAAUGCGUAGAUAUUAGGAAGAACACCAGUGGCGAAGGCGGCUUGCUGGACAGUAACUGACGUUGAGGCUCGAAAGCGUGGGGAGCAAACAGGAUUAGAUACCCUUGUAG